This 253-nucleotide ribosomal RNA is filed under the name uncultured bacterium. RNAcentral's name for it is "partial 16S ribosomal RNA". It matches the Rfam family "Bacterial small subunit ribosomal RNA", at positions 524 to 776 of the family's 1533-position model. The record is from RNAcentral.
UACGAAGGGGGCGAGCGUUGUUCGGAAUUACUGGGCGUAGAGCGCGUGUAGGCGGCCCGGUAAGUCCGCUGUGAAAGUCGGGGGCUCAACCCUCGGAUGCCGGUGGAUACUGUCGGGCUAGAGUGCGGAAGAGGCGAGUGGAAUUCCUGGUGUAGCGGUGAAAUGCGCAGAUAUCAGGAGGAACACCAAUUGCGAAGGCAGCUCGCUGGGACGUGACUGACGCUGAGACGCGAAAGCGUGGGGAGCAAACAGG